This 292-nucleotide ribosomal RNA is filed under the name uncultured bacterium. Its description in RNAcentral is "partial 16S ribosomal RNA". The record is from RNAcentral. RNAcentral also lists the same sequence under 1 other name.
GGACUACCAGGGUAUCUAAUCCUGUUUGAUCCCCACGCUUUCGUGCAUGAGCGUCAAUAUCUGCGUAGUAAGCUGCCUUCGCAAUAGGUAUUCUAUGUCAUAUCUAAGCAUUUCACCGCUACAUGACAUAUUCUGCUUACCUCCACAGCAUUCAAGAUAUAUAGUAUCAACGGCAGUUUUCCCGUUAAGCGGGAAGAUUUCACCACUGACUUACAUAUCCGCCUGCGCACCCUUUAAACCCAGUAAAUCCGGAUAACGCUUGCACCCUCCGUAUUACCGCGGCGGCUGGCAC